This 253-nucleotide ribosomal RNA is filed under the name uncultured bacterium. RNAcentral's name for it is "partial 16S ribosomal RNA". It matches the Rfam family "Bacterial small subunit ribosomal RNA", at positions 524 to 776 of the family's 1533-position model. The record is from RNAcentral.
UACAGAGGUCUCAAGCGUUGUUCGGAUUCAUUGGGCGUAAAGGGCGCGUAGGCGGCUUCAUAAGUCUUGGGUGAAAGCCCUCGGCUCAACCGAGGAAUUGCCUUGGAUACUGUGAAGCUCGAGGCUGGAAGAGGGCAGUGGAAUUCCCGGUGUAGCGGUGAAAUGCGUAGAUAUCGGAAGGAACACCAGUGGCGAAGGCGGCUGCCUGGGCCAGUUCUGACGCUGAGGCGCGAAAGCGUGGGGAGCAAACAGG